RNAcentral lists this unclassified non-coding RNA (339 nucleotides) under soil metagenome. RNAcentral describes it as "partial contains 5.8S ribosomal RNA, internal transcribed spacer 2, and large subunit ribosomal RNA". The stretch from base 1 to 120 matches the Rfam family "5.8S ribosomal RNA", at positions 35 to 154 of the family's 154-position model. The record is from RNAcentral.
GAUGAAGAACGUAGCGAAAUGCGAUACGUAGUGUGAAUUGCAGAAUUCAGUGAAUCAUCGAAUCUUUGAACGCACAUUGCACCUCUCGGUAUUCCGGGAGGUAUGCCUGUUCGAGCGUCAUUUGUACCCUCAAGCUCUGCUUGGUGUUGGGUGUUUGUUCCGCCUCUGUGUGUGAACUCGCCUCAAAACAAUUGGCAGCCGGCGUACUUGUUUCGGAGUGCAGCACAUUUUGCGAUCCAGAUCAACGUACAGCGGCAUCCAAGAAGCCUUAUUUAACGCUCUUGACCUCGGAUCAGGUAGGGAUACCCGCUGAACUUAAGCAUAUCAAUAAGCGGAGGA